Molecule: ribosomal RNA, 497 nt
Filed under: uncultured bacterium
Lineage: Bacteria
Description: bacterial SSU rRNA
Rfam family: Bacterial small subunit ribosomal RNA
Source: RNAcentral
AAAGGAAUAGACGGGGGCCCGCACAAGCGGUGGAGUAUGUGGUUUAAUUCGAAGCAACGCGAAGAACCUUACCAAGUUUUGACAUACCAUUGGAUAUUUUAGAAAUAAGAUAGACCUUUCGGGGGCAAUGGAUACAGGUGGUGCAUGGUUGUCGUCAGCUCGUGUCGUGAGAUGUUGGGUUAAGUCCCGCAACGAGCGCAACCCUUGCAGAUAGUAGCUAGCAGGUUAAGCUGAGCACUCUAGAUGGACUGCCGUGGCUAACACGGAGGAAGGUGGGGAUGAGGUCAAAUCAUCAUGCCCCUUAUAACUUGGGCUACACACGUACUACAAUGGGAGUUACAAAGCGAGGCGAAGUAGCGAUAUGGAGCGAAGCGCAUAAAGACUUUCACAGUUCGGAUUAUAGUCUGCAACUCGACUAUAUGAAGAUGGAAUCGCUAGUAAUCGCGGAUCAGAAUGUCGCGGUGAAUACGUUCCCGGGCCUUGUACACACCGCCCGU